AACCAGGCCACGCCAGACGCAUCAUCUCUGGGUCCCGGGUAUUCAUCCCCUUCCCUUCCCGCCCCGCCCCGCCCCGCCCCUGAAGACAGCAUGCAGCUGCAGAUUCCAGGGAGAGUGCUGCUUAGGGGGGGCUACUGAAGCCAUAGCCCUGUGUGAGGAACUCAGGAUGAGAAGGUGAAGAUCAGAGACUCUCAGAGCCCAUCGACAGCUUGUCCCCACGGAACCCACCCGACUUUUCCCUGCCUAGCCCACUCCACCACCGAUCCGGUCUGGCCCUGGCUGUGGGCAGCGAACUGGAAUCUCGAGCUGAGGGAACUCUGCCAUCCCGGGCAUGGAUUUCGUGUUCUUUCAGGUGCUCAACUGAAGUGGGACCACCAUCUCCAGAACUUCCAGAGGCAGGAAAGUGGGCCAAGAAGAGCCCUGCAGACAAAUGAGAGGUCCACGCGGAGCAUCACACAAGCCAGAUCAGGCCGGAACCUCAGCCUCCUUGUUUGUGCGGUGUGGGUAUGAGUGGAAUGCUGCACGUGGCUGUGCCUGUACCACACGCAUGAGUGCGCGGGCACCACAUGCCUG
RNAcentral lists this long non-coding RNA (573 nucleotides) under Mus caroli (Ryukyu mouse). RNAcentral describes it as "lncRNA (MGP_CAROLIEiJ_G0005918.1)". Lineage: Eukaryota; Metazoa; Chordata; Mammalia; Rodentia; Muridae. The record is from RNAcentral.